Balaenoptera musculus (blue whale) is the source of this 871-nucleotide long non-coding RNA. RefSeq lists it as uncharacterized. The record is from RefSeq and is a predicted model, not a curated record. The transcript has 4 exons. NCBI's taxonomy places the organism in Eukaryota, Metazoa, Chordata, Mammalia, Artiodactyla, Balaenopteridae.
UGAAGGCUCAGCAGGCGAACGUUUUCGUCUGCACGCAUUCAGGGGCGGGACUUCCAUAGGCUUUAUGUGGUGGCCGGUUUUCGUGUUUUUUCACCUUUUUCAGGGCAUUGAGUCCUGAGUCGGGACCGAAGAGAAUGGAACAGGCGAGGAGAGGCGUUGGCCCCGGUGCCCAGAGGCGGCUGUGAGGCCCCCUGAGCCCGUAGUUGACGGCGGUGCCCUCGUUCCCGCCCCGCCCGCCAGGUGUUCCAGCUCCGUUCUUUCCACCGGCCGGUGACCCCGGUGACCGAAGCUGCGCCGAUGAGGCCGGCUUAGCAACCACAAGGAGCAGGUUUCAGAAGAUAAUGAGUUAAAUUUUGGAUGUGUGACCCUAAGAUACCUCAAGGUGGAGACGGCACGUAGGAGCAUAUCUGGCAUAGGAGCUACUCUGGCCUGUGUCUGUAGAAAAGGAUACCUGGAUGUGAUGAAUUGCUGGCCUGGAUGGAGAUGAAGGUGUAAGGUCGUGUAGACUGAGCCCUGCAGGUCAGCUCUGCUCCUAGAGGAGAAUCCCUGUGGGACAAAGAAAUAGCCAGGUUCCCAUGGCAUUUGCAGAAAUGCUUAUGGACCUGUACAGGUGAAUGGAGGAUGUGCCAGACCUUCAACCACCCCAGUUAUCACCCUGAUGGUUCUGCCACUCCCAUAUGAAGAAUGCUGGUGGCCUGAGAUUGUUCACCCAUCCUUCUCCCUUCCUUGGGUCUGAAGUCCCUGUGGUUUCACCAAGGCCUAGGGUCUUGAACUCAGUCCCAGAUUAUAUGGAGCUGUUCCCAUUUCCAACAACUGAUGGAGUAAGAUGUGGAAGGAUGUCGUGGGCACAGGAUACAGAAUGUCCAGACGA